AUUGAACGCUGGCGGCAGGCCUAACACAUGCAAGUCGAGCGCGCGGCGGACGGGUGAGUCAUGUCUGGGGAACUGCCUCUUAGAGGGGGGUAACUACUCGAAACGGUAGCUAAUACCGCAUACCCUCCGAUGUGCCCCGAUGGGAUUAGCUAGUGGGUGGGGUAACUGCUCACCUAGGCGACGAUCCCUAGCUGGUCUGAGAGGAUGACCAGCCACACUGGAACUGAGACACGGUCCAGACUCCGACGGGAGGCAGCAGUGGGGAAUAUUGCACAAUGGGCGCAAGCCUGAUGCAGCCAUGCCGCGUGUGUGAAGAAGGCCUUCGGGUUGUAAAGUUCUUUCGGUGACGAGGCGUUAAUCACAGAAGAAGCACCGGCUAACUCCGUGCCAGCAGCCGCGGUAAUUC
RNAcentral lists this ribosomal RNA (406 nucleotides) under uncultured bacterium. RNAcentral describes it as "partial 16S ribosomal RNA". It matches the Rfam family "Bacterial small subunit ribosomal RNA", at positions 30 to 526 of the family's 1533-position model. The record is from RNAcentral.